AUAAUUUUAAUAGGGUUAUUUGUCUCUCUGAAGUCUAAAUUUUGAGUUCUUUGUAUGUAUUGGUUAUGGCCUUCUAUCAGAUGGAGGAUUGGUAUAGACCUUUCCAAAUCUGUUCCUUGCGGUUUUGUCCUAAAAGUGUCCUUUGGCAGGCAGUUUUCUACUACAGUGAAGAACUGUCAGUUAGUAAACUAAAACAAGGACUGGCUCCUUACUGACUUCCCUACGUGUUCUGAACAGUAGAUGGGGAAACUAAACAACCAUGUUAUACCCCUACAAGGCAUGCCUAUCUAUAGUCGUGGAUCUAGAGAGACCUAGCAGAGAUUCUGGGCAUCUGUCAAAGAAAUGUAGGCUGGUGAAGUUUGCAGUUUUCAUCCUGGUUUCUGUAUCGACAGGGUAUGGUGUUGUGAAGACAAGAUACCACAUGUGCAGCUGUGAAUAAGUCUGAGAAGGCUGACUUCUUGGAUUUCUGAAGCAUUAUUAAGUGAUCCAGAGGAAAUCAGCACGCCCUGCUCAGCAGAGCUCUGGGAAUGCUGACACUCUUGCUUCAUGUUUAUAUUAACCUAGGUCAAAAGAUCACCUGUCAGGGUCUCCGGGUAAGGCAUCAUCCCAACCUUCCAGCAUCAGUGAGCAAGUGCAACAGAUUAAGAAGUUGGAGAAAUUGACUAAGGAGCUCCAGAAGAUGACAUAUACCCUACAAUAAAGAAGAUACCAUCACAGCUUCCCAUCCUCCCCAGCACUGAAGAAAGAAAAGUUUUACUUUGUCAUGGUUAUGGACAUAUUCUUGUUUACUGGGCUCAGAGCUUCAGAUCUGACGGAGGGAGACUAUGGAAAUGGAAUCUCCUUUGGAGGAAUCUGCUUACCUUGUAGGAAUGGGGAAACAGAGAGCAAAAGUAAGAUGUUGUUCCACGACUUCAUCCCUUGCUAAGAAAAAAGUGUCCUUUUCACAGCUUGGGAACUGGGUAAGCAGUCUAAGCAAGCAUGGCUAACAAGCCAAACCAGAUGGGUAAACAUUUGUCCAUUGGAUACGAAGGGGGAGCAUUUAAUUGACUAUGCUGACUGUAUCUCCUGUCCACUGUGUUCUAAUCCCAUGCAAGGAAAGUUCGGUGGAUUUUGUCUGUCCUGUGUCAGAACAAUAGUGUUUUCCAUUCUGAA
Rattus norvegicus (Norway rat) is the source of this 1152-nucleotide non-coding RNA. NCBI's taxonomy places the organism in Eukaryota, Metazoa, Chordata, Mammalia, Rodentia, Muridae. The record is from RefSeq and is a predicted model, not a curated record.